This 301-nucleotide ribosomal RNA is filed under the name uncultured bacterium. Its description in RNAcentral is "partial 16S ribosomal RNA". It matches the Rfam family "Bacterial small subunit ribosomal RNA", at positions 509 to 807 of the family's 1533-position model. The record is from RNAcentral.
CAGUAGCCGCGGGAAAACGAAGGGGGCUAGCGUUGUUCGGAUUUACUGGGCGUAAAGGGUGCGUAGGCGGACUGAUAAGUCAGGGGUGAAAUCCCAAGGCUCAACCUUGGAACUGCCUUUGAUACUGUUAGUCUUGAGUUCGAGAGAGGUGAGUGGAACUGCGAGUGUAGAGGUGAAAUUCGUAGAUAUUCGCAAGAACACCAGUGGCGAAGGCGGCUCACUGGCUCGAAACUGACGCUGAGGCACGAAAGCGUGGGGAGCAAACAGGAUUAGAUACCCCGGUAGUCCCUGUCUCUUAUAC